GACGAACGCUGGCGGCGUGCUUAACACAUGCAAGUCGAACGGUAAGGCCCUUCGGGGUACACGAGUGGCGAACGGGUGAGUAACACGUGGGUGAUCUGCCCUGCACUUCGGGAUAAGCCUGGGAAACUGGGUCUAAUACCGGAUAGGACCACUGCCUGCAUGGGUGGUGGUGGAAAGCUUUUGCGGUGUGGGAUGGGCCCGCGGCCUAUCAGCUUGGUGGUGGGGUGAUGGCCUACCAAGGCGACGACGGGUAGCCGGCCUGAGAGGGUGACCGGCCACACUGGGACUGAGAUACGGCGCAGACUCCUACGGGAGGCAGCAGUGGGGAAUAUUGCGCAAUGGGCGCAAGCCUGAUGCAGCGACGCCGCGUGAGGGAUGACGGCCUUCGGGUUGUAAACCUCUUUCAGCACCGACGAAGCGCAAGUGACGGUAGGUGCAGAAGAAGGACCGGCCAACUACGUGCCAGCCGCCGCAGUAA
Molecule: ribosomal RNA, 478 nt
Filed under: uncultured bacterium
Lineage: Bacteria
Description: partial 16S ribosomal RNA
Rfam family: Bacterial small subunit ribosomal RNA
Source: RNAcentral